GGGUGGUGGUUUGUGGGCCAAGGAUGAUGAAAUCUUCACCUUAUAUUGAUUAAGAUUUUUGCCCUUAAGAUGAUUUAUGCAGAUGCAAUGCAAACAAAGCAGGAUAUCCAAGCACAAGUGGAAAGUUUUUAAAUUUUAAUUUAUUUUUCUGUAUUAGUUAAGUAUUAUAAGAUAUAUAUUUUGUUUCCUUUUAUGUUAGGUUAUUUAAAG
This 210-nucleotide long non-coding RNA is filed under the name Elaeis guineensis (African oil palm). RNAcentral describes it as "long non-coding RNA (EGUI_LNC065070)". Lineage: Eukaryota; Viridiplantae; Streptophyta; Magnoliopsida; Arecales; Arecaceae. The record is from RNAcentral.